RNAcentral lists this transfer RNA (85 nucleotides) under Felis catus (domestic cat). It matches the Rfam family "tRNA". Rfam says of the family: Transfer RNA (tRNA) molecules are approximately 80 nucleotides in length. The record is from Rfam by way of RNAcentral. Lineage: Eukaryota; Metazoa; Chordata; Mammalia; Carnivora; Felidae.
GCCUGGGUGGCUCAGUUGGUUGAGCGUCUGACUUCAGCUCAGGUCAUGAUCUCUUGGCUCGUGAGUUCGAGCCCCGCGUUGGGCU